RNAcentral lists this ribosomal RNA (296 nucleotides) under uncultured soil bacterium. Its description in RNAcentral is "partial 16S ribosomal RNA". It matches the Rfam family "Bacterial small subunit ribosomal RNA", at positions 26 to 351 of the family's 1533-position model. The record is from RNAcentral.
AGAACGAACGCUGGCGGCAUGCCUAACACAUGCAAGUCGAACGAGACCUUCGGGUCUAGUGGCGCACGGGUGCGUAACGCGUGGGAAUCUGCCCUUGGGUUCGGGAUAACAGUUGGAAACGACUGCUAAUACCGGAUGAUGACUUCGGUCCAAAGAUUUAUCGCCCAGGGAUGAGCCCGCGUAGGAUUAGCUAGUUGGUGAGGUAAAGCUCACCAAGGCGACGAUCCUUAGCUGGUCUGAGAGGACGAUCAGCCACACUGGGACUGAGACACGGCCCAGACUCCUACGGGAGGCAG